Triticum aestivum (bread wheat) is the source of this 98-nucleotide non-coding RNA. The record is from Rfam. Lineage: Eukaryota; Viridiplantae; Streptophyta; Magnoliopsida; Poales; Poaceae.
GUCCCUUCGGGGUCAGUCGAUAAAAUUGGAACGAUACAGGUUAGCAUGGCCUCUGCGGAAGGAUGACACGCACAAACUGAGAAAUGGUUCAAUUUUUU